CGUGUAGGCGGUUGGUCAAGUCUGGUGUGAAAGCCCGGGGCUUAGCCCCGGAAGUGCGCUGGAAACUAGCCAACUUGAGCGCGAUAGAGGAGGGUGGAAUUCCUGGUGUAGCGGUGAAAUGCGUAGAUAUCAGGAGGAACACCGGCGGCGAAGGCGGCCCUCUGGGUCGUUGCUGACGCUGAGACGCGAAAGCGUGGGGAGCAAACAGGAUUAGAUACCCUGGUAGUCCACGCUGUAAACUAUAGGGUACUAGGUGUUCGGGGUGUUGACCCCCUGAGUGCCGACGCUAACGCAUUAAGUACCCCGCCUGGGGACUACGGCCGCAAGGCUAAA
RNAcentral lists this ribosomal RNA (333 nucleotides) under uncultured bacterium. RNAcentral describes it as "bacterial SSU rRNA". It matches the Rfam family "Bacterial small subunit ribosomal RNA", at positions 568 to 898 of the family's 1533-position model. The record is from RNAcentral.